CGCGUAGGUGGUUUGUUAAGUUGGAUGUGAAAGCCCCGGGCUCAACCUGGGAACUGCAUCCAAAACUGGCAAGCUAGAGUACGGUAGAGGGUGGUGGAAUUUCCUGUGUAGCGGUGAAAUUCGUAGAUAUUCGCAAGAACACCAGUGGCGAAGGCGGCUCACUGGGCCAUUACUGACGCUGAGGCACGAAAGCGUGGGGAGCAAACA
Molecule: ribosomal RNA, 207 nt
Filed under: uncultured bacterium
Lineage: Bacteria
Description: partial 16S ribosomal RNA
Rfam family: Bacterial small subunit ribosomal RNA
Source: RNAcentral